This 707-nucleotide unclassified non-coding RNA is filed under the name Bombus terrestris (buff-tailed bumblebee). RNAcentral describes it as "misc RNA ENSBTSG00005023337.1". The record is from RNAcentral. Lineage: Eukaryota; Metazoa; Arthropoda; Insecta; Hymenoptera; Apidae.
CGAUGACACUGAAUGUUAGAACAAUGCAUUCAAUUGCAACCCUUCUUCCUCAUAAAGAGAAAAAUCAUGACUUUCUACCACGUGGAAACGUACCGCAAUAAUAAUUAACAGAUAUUCUUGUCAAGAAGUCGAUGAAAUCAUAUGGUUUGACAGUUUCGGAAUCCUGUUGAGAGCGUCGAUCACUGCCAUUGCAAAGGACAAUGCGAUCGAGAAUCACGAGUCUAGGGACAUUUCUGAUCAAAUCCAGUUCAAAUCUACUGUAGUUCACUGAUUAUUGUUCACGAGUUUCAAUCGAGGAACGCUGAUAAACCGAGCAUUCUGUCAAGUGCACUAUCCACUGUACGUAAUAUCGGAAAGAGACCGCUGCCUGCUGUCUCGUCGGAAAAGAUGAGAGGACAAAAAGAGUCGACAGAUUAAAUAUCAGAUACAUUUCUUCAUUUUGAAAAAAUUAUUGUCGUUUCGUUCCUAUAUCGAUUAAUCGACGGCCCAAAGAGAGUUUAUUGUUAUUGUUAGAAUAGGCACGUGAAAUGUGGCAGACAUGGAAAGAUGUGAAAUAGUACCAGAUUUAUGGAUGGAUUAUAAGUAUAAUGCAUUCGAGAUACGCCUGAAAUGUGAAUAAUAGCAUUGGAAAGGAUACUUUGAUCGAAAUCUAUCUAUCAGAGAGAUAAAAGGUGUAGUGCAAUGAGGAGAUUCUGGUAUGCCAAAGA